CAUUCUGUUAAGGUCCAAAGGUGACGAAUGAGAAGAGUGAUUAGUAUCGUUAAUUUCGGAAGUUUGGUUUUGAAGAUAAGAAGGAUCAUGAUGAACGACUGUCGAAGACUCUACCAAAGUAGGCGAAUUCUGAAUUUCUUUGGUUGUAGCCAAUGUUUUAGUGGAAAAGGAUGAAGAAGUUAGUGAAUGGGCAUGCCUGUGUAAAAUUGAACUGCUUGGUCUCUCAUGAAUUGUUGCACGCGAGCGAGAUGGAGCCAAAAUGCGCAAGUUUGAAGGAGGGCGUUGAUUUAUUGACGAAGGAGGGCGACGGUUGAUUGAUGAAGAAGGACGAACGAUAUUAGCCGCUUUAGUACGAACAUUGCCUGUAGUUGUCCUCGAAGAGAGAGUGGAUUGAAUGCGAGAAGGUGAACGAACACCUAAAGAAGUACCUGGACGAACGAUUUUAGCUGAUGAAUUUUUCACAUUAACUUCUCUCUGUUCUAAUCUUGAGGGAGUACGCGCCUGCGCGUUACGUGAAACAGGUCGUACAGCUAAUGAAGAAGCUACCCGAACAGUUGAGUUAGAAGUGGCAGAGACGUUGGGUCUUUGAGUAUUGGACGCAGAGUUUUCUCUGAAGAUUCUGGAUCCCGGUCGGACAGUCUGAGCUGCACUUACAGGACGCACGAUCUUGGUCGAUGCGUUGACUUUUACUUUGGAAGGACUAGUAGAAUUCUUUGAGAUACUUCCGGAAGCAUUUGUUACGUUAACUCUAGAUAAUGGACGGGUGGUGGAAGUCCUUGUGGGUGGACGAACGACAGAAGAAUUUCCGAGAGAACGAACAGAAAUUCGAGGAGAAGCUGAAGGCUUGUCGUUAGAGCCAGGAGAUUUGACGACGGGGCUAUCAUCCGACUUUGCAUUGAAGCCGACCUUUGGUGAGCGCACAUUCGGGCCAUUACCAAGGCGUGAUGGUGAACGAACUGCCAUUGAAGAUUUCGCUCUCGGAAUAGCAGCAAUUCUAGCAUUUGAGGACAUUCGGGCGAUAGACGACGUUGAAGGUUUUGUAAUAGUAGCGACAUGUUUAGAGGUCGUUACAGAAGGAGAUUCCUUGGAAGAAAUUGAAUUCUCAUGUAGUGAUGCCUCUUUGGGAAUGCGAGGUGCGUUAUUUGAUAACCUGGCCAAACUAGUCGAGGGUCGAAGACGUUGAGAGGGAUUACGAAUAUUCCGAGCUUUGGCUCGUACAUUAUUAGUCUUUGAAGUAGGAUUAGAUAUUUGGGUAUUUCCUAAUGACUGGCCUUGGGUAACCCGAGAUUGAGAGGUAGGAACUGAUGGUGAAGAAAUGUUUACUUGCUGUAAAGAGGCACUUAAUUUAUCAAUAGCCGAGGAUUCCUCAGUAUCCAUUACAGAGUUCUCACCUCCAUUAUGAAGUUGUGAGGUGGUAGAAUCCGUGAAAAUCGACGUAGAAUGCAGUUCCUUGAGAAUAUUCGAUGUUUGCAUUUGUAGUUGCUCCAGUCUUUGAAGCAUAUUAGACUCGGCCUCUGCCAAAGGCUCUUGGCUUGGUGAACCCGGCAUUGGCAGAAUAAAAUUGAAUAAGACUCGCAAUCAACAACCCUGAAUGCACAAAAGAGAAAGCCAAAUACACUACACCGUUAGCUGGUAUCGCCCAACACUAGGUAGCAAUAACAAACUACGUCCUAUAUUGUUAGUGUAUAUAUAACGAAUUCUAUUAAUCCCCGUAAAACUCUUGCUACCUGAUGCAAACAAAUAAAAUUACCUUCAUAAGUGCUGCACUGUUUACAUAUUUUCUAUCCAGCUGACCGAUUCUUUUCAAUAUAUGUAUUCAUUUGACCAUAAUAAUUAUCGUUAAAUUGUGAUUGCUAUGAAUAUACUUUUCCGUUCCCUCCCAGAUUUCUGUUCCCGUUGUUUUUCCAAAGCAAAUCAUUGAUGGGAGAGAGCAAUGUGAAAAUUAAGAUGCAAGUGUACAAUGAGAAUAACAUGUACACAUUGAGGAAACCCGCUAUAACUCUUCUUCCACAGCAUCAUACCGAUUCUACAAA
Molecule: non-coding RNA, 2033 nt
Organism: Schizosaccharomyces pombe (fission yeast)
Lineage: Eukaryota; Fungi; Ascomycota; Schizosaccharomycetes; Schizosaccharomycetales; Schizosaccharomycetaceae
Source: the annotation of a GenBank genome assembly